CUGAUUCAACUAUGAUUUUUAUUUGCCUGAUUUCCUUUUGGAUAAUGAAGGCAUCUUUAGUCAUCAUCUCUUCUGAGACAU
Molecule: small nucleolar RNA, 81 nt
Organism: Cercocebus atys (sooty mangabey)
Lineage: Eukaryota; Metazoa; Chordata; Mammalia; Primates; Cercopithecidae
Source: Ensembl